CGGCGGUGACGUCAUGCUGCUGCUGGCCGCGCCGGGACCGCCUGAGGGGGCGGCCGUGCCCGGGGAAGCCGCGGGAAGGGCUCUGCUCCCUCCGCAGGAAGAGUUCACGGCCAUCGGUCUGCCUCUGCCUCGUCCUGGGAAAUCUACCAUCAUCUGCUCCUGUACCCAGGAAUCCUGAGCUCGUUUUCUUCAGCCUCCUCCCACCGCUGCUGUUUCUUCGGAGCUUUGAGGCUUUCCUGCUACUCUGUGUCCCUGCCCUGCCCAGCCCUGCCGGGACACCCCUGCUGCUCCAGCUGCCAGCGCAGAGCUCCUCAUCUCAUCCACCAGCCCGGGACUUUCCUCCCUUCCAGCUCGGCCUCUCGGAGCCCUGCAGGGGCACCGAGAUCAAACUGCCCCAGGCUUUUGUGAAAGAAAGCCCUCAAGGUUCUCGGUUCUGUUUAUUACUAAUGCAGUAGUUGUUUGUUUGUUGUUUUGUCAUAUAUACUAGUAAAGAACUGUUAUUCCUAUCCCCAUACCUCUGCCUGAAAGCCCCUUUAAUUUUCUAAAUUAGAAUAACUUGGAGGGAGGGGAUUCAAAUUCUCCAUCUCCAGGGAGGUCCUGCCCCCUCCCUAGCAGAUACCUGUCUUUCAAACCAAGACAAUGUUGAAGAGAAUGGGGCCAAGGAUGGAACCCUGAAGAACCCCAUCAGUGACGGACCCACUCGUGAUGUCGCCCCAUUCAGUAGAGCCCUUUGUGCCUGACCCAUGAGCCAGGCACAUGCUGUGUUUACCCAGCUGAGCGCUGGGCAUUUUGUCCAGUGGAAUACUGUGAGAGACGGUAUCAAGAGCUUUACUGAAUCUUCUCCAUGGUUUUAUCAGGCAUUGAAGUGAGACUGACAGGCCUGUAGUGUGCAUGGUCAUCAGUCACCAUGAGAUCUUCCUAGCUUGCUGAGCGUUCAUAUUAAAGUAGAAGGUUUGCACCUUCUCACACUCCUUUCAUGUAAACACCAGCUAUGUUCUAUAAACACAGUCAUUGUUUUCACAUUCCAUGCUGGGACAGACAAGACUGGGUGACAGUCCCCUUGACCAGCGUGGUGAGAGGUGGGAAUGCCCACUCUCCAAUCCAUGGGCACCUUGCUAGAAGUACAUAAUAGGAAGUAAUAAACAAAGCAGGAGGAUUUCUCCCCUGCUGCUCUGAUCUCCCCAAACUCCGGCUCUGUGUGUCUUUCUGGCGAGGCUCACAGCGACAGUCAUCCUUCUUGCACUUCUUCAAAACUGGGACAGUAUUUGCAGCUUUUGGUAGACUGAGCCUCUCCAGAUUCCCAAGAUUCAGAAGUCACUGAGAGAAGUCUCAUAAUGGCACCAGCCAGCUCUUUGAGUAUUCUUGCAUGAAUCCCAUCAGGCCCUGUUAGAGGGAUCCAGCUGAAAAAGCAAAUCCUGCACAAAUUCAGGGUUGACCAGGAGUUUAUCAUUUUCACAGUCAUGAGAAAUCAGUUUAACACAGAACAAAGCGUCAAACAUAGAAUGAUUUAGUGAUCUGCUCAGAAUACUUCUCCAUGACAUGGAAUUCUUCUAAGUACAGUAAACACUGCAAAUGCCAGGUUUUAGAUGCAACUCCUCAGGGCUAGGUUGUAAAAGAAAAAUCGAAGUUUACGAGUAUAACAUUAGAUCUCAAUGCUGAAGCAGGAUUUUAAAAGCUAUUUCCCACUGAAGCAUUCCCAGCCGUGUUGAGGGCCUAGCAGGGCCUAUAAACCUUGUAAGAGUACAAGGAGCCCACUGAAGCCCCAGAGCAGCACAGGAGCAGAAUGCUCUGUGUUUGGAAGACUGUCUGCAGAAAGGAGCUUUUAUGAGGCUCCUCACAUACACACCAGUCACUAACUGAGCUCUCAUAAUCCAGACACAGAUUCUUCCUUGUGUACUAUGAAACAGGGAAAUGGGAAUUAUCACACUAGGUGGAGCAUUUUUAAGAACUGGGAGUUAUGGUAUGUUAGUAAAUAUAUUAUGCCAUUAUUUAUAUUAAUUGUGAGUACUAAAAGGCUGCAACUUCUUUCAGUUUGGGUGACCUGGAGCUAUAAAGCCACCAGCUGAGAGUUAUAAAUGUCUGUCAUUGCAAGACAUCAAUUGGUCAUAAAAAUAGUCAGAGCAUUUACUUCUCUUUAAUGGAAAUUUGAAAAAGUUGCUCUGGAUCCUGCUUUCCUGUCAAAACUCUCUCAUUUCCCUCUUAGCACUGCCAUACUAAACUAUAGGGUUCCCAAACUCCACACUAUGACACAGAAGGAAACUAGACAUGAUGAAAAUUCUCAGAAACACACAAAAGUCUUCAGCAGCCUAAAAACAAAAAACGUGUUUUGACUUUGCAUAACAGCACCAUUCACUAACAAAAGCUUCUCAUUUUUGACUUUUACUUUUUCUGUCUUACCCUUUUAGCCAGUUUUCUCUACAAGGCAAUAAAAGAAUCUCAUAAACUGGCCUUGAAUAUUAAGAGGUGAAUGAAGCUGAAAUAACUUCAACACAGGAGUCUACCAUAAGAGAUUAGGGCAAAAAGAGGGACUUUAUGCAAAUAGAUGUAUUUGAAGAGACAGAAGUUCGACCCAUUUGCCUUCCAGUGCAAACCAAACAAACUUUUCAAAAUUACUGCUGUAUAUGAGAAAUUAAUUUCAGAGAGAAAAGGAGUCAAAUUUACCUUCUUAUUUAGAAAUAAAGGUAGAAACAGAAUUAAUCUCAUCUACAGAUGAGAUUUAUUAGCUUAGUAAUUAGCUUAGUUUUCAUUUUUAGGUAAUGACUAAAAAUACUAUUCAAGAAGAACUCAUCCCUUUUAAACAGGUCAAUAAAAAAUUAGGCUUAAUGGGAAGUUCAGCAUGCUUCAUUAUACCCAAUAAAGACAGUGGUUCUGAUUUUAUAUAACAGCUUUAUUAUCAAAUGGCAAGAGAGUUAGUAAUGAUGUCAUGCAGGUAUCACAAAAGAAAGUUCCAAAAGAUAAACAGGUCACCUAACAGCUCAAAAUCCCUUGCAAUUAAAAAACAAAGCUACAUCUUUCUGAUGUCCUGGUUUGUUUCAUGGCAGCUGCUAUUUUUCUGUCCAAAUGUUAUGGCUAUCUCUUGGAUCACCUGCUGGAUUCCCUAAAGGGAACAGUAGGCUAGGACAGCACCCAGUGCUUUUUUUGCUUUCCACAAGGCCUGCCUUACUCUGCACAACCCUCAGAAGUCCCCACAGGAUAGGAAAGCACCUCAGGCUGCUGGCAGCUGAAGAUAAACACAGAAGGGAUGGGUUAAAAAAAUGCUAAGGUUUUUAAAAAGCAAAGAACCCUAUUUUGAACCUUUUUAAGGUCUUAAGGCUUUUAGUUAUCAUGAUGGGAGGCCAGGCUUGUGGCUGAAACACAACAGGUUUUCAGUAACAAAGCCUGAUCCCGUCUCCAUAGGGAAACAGAACUCAGUGAAAAUGUCAAGUGACAGCACGAGUCUUGUUAGAUUGAGAGAGAGUUCAGCUCCUUCUUUGGUUCCACCAAGACAUUGGCUUCACACAGCAUGGGAAGGGUUUUACAACAGCUUCUGUUACUGACCAGGAAUUGAGGCAAAUUUUGAGAAAAGCCACUGGAAAAUAAGUAGUAGGUAAUUUAUUCUGAGAGUUCAUCUGCACAAAAAGUUAACUCUGCAGAAAAGUAGGCUGUAAAUCUACAGCAGCUUCACACUCAGUAGUUUGGGGAACACUUGCUCACAUGGCUCACUUCACAUCCAAGUUUACUGUGGAAUAAAUCCCCUGGGUAGAGGAGCUCUGGAGAUUAGAAUGGUAGCAAUAAAAGUAAUCACUGUUUAGUUUUAAAUGCCAAAGUACACUUCUAGAAUAAAUUCUAAAUAACAAAAGAAUUGCUGAAGCUGAAUGAUCUUACAAUAAACCUGCAAACAGAAUUGAUAUAAAUUCAUUUAUAUACUUACAUAAAAAAUAUCAUUUACUGUGCAGCCUGGAUUUAAAUAAAAGACAAAUGGUGUAUCAGUAAUAUUUACGAUAUAUUUACAAGUAACACUGUGAUGAAACAAAGCAGUCAAUUAAAAUUAUGUUACAAAAAUGAAUAAACCCUUUAAAGGUACCAGUCAGUACCUUUUACAUUAUCACAUUUAUGAACUGUUCUCUUAGAGCUCAAAGAUCUAUGAUAUGAUCAUGAGUUAACACAAGGACACAGACUAAAAAACCCUGGAACUGGAGCACGUGCUGAGGUGUUGAGUCUCUGUUCAGCAAGACACUGCAGGGGCAUCAGCUUCAAACCACGUGAGCAGCGCUGGUUUCAGCAGAUAAAACACCAAUGUGCUCCCCAGUUCCUCACUGCCCAGGGCCUGGUUUGACACAG
Long non-coding RNA from Prinia subflava (tawny-flanked prinia), 4320 nucleotides. RefSeq lists it as uncharacterized. Lineage: Eukaryota; Metazoa; Chordata; Aves; Passeriformes; Cisticolidae. The record is from RefSeq and is a predicted model, not a curated record. The transcript is spliced from 2 exons.